UGUCUCCCCAGCUUCUGUGUCGUUGAACCCCCACCAGUUUGGGUCGUGAUGGAUGAGGGACCCCUCAAGCUGGCACAGGCCAAGCACCGGCGGGACCUGGAGGCGGAGCUUCGUGACCUCAGCAACCAGGUGGCAGCGCUGGGGCGGAGCCUGGCGCACGAGAGGGGGCGGAGCUUGGCAGAGGGCGGGGCCUUGAGAGCCCUCGAGAUCGCGGUGGGCGGAGCCAAAGCCCGAGUGGGCGGAGCCUUCCGGGCCCGGGAUCGAGCAUGGGAGCGGCUGAGGCAGCAGCAGGAGGCGGGGCGCGUGUUGUGGGCGGAGCUAGAGGCAGCACGCGCGGCGCGGGAAAGGGCGGAGCUCCGGGCGCAGGAGGCGGAGUCACAGUGCCGGGACAAGGAGGCGGAGCUGGAGCGACUGCGGCAGGCGCAGGAGCUGCAGCGGGCGCUGAUGGGCGCACAGGCACGAGCCCGGGCAGCGGCGGAGGCACGGGCACAGCUGGAGCGGGAGCAGCGGGGGCUGCAGGGGCGGCUGCAGCACCCUGGGGUGCCCCCGCACCCGGCUGAGGCCACCCUGCGUGCCCGCUGCUUCCACCUGCAGGAGCUGCUGCAGCGCGAGGCGGGGGCACGGGCGGCACUGGCGCGGGCAUCGCGGGCAGCAGGACGGCGGCUGCGGGUGCUGCUGGCGGAGGUGGAGGAGCAGCGGCUGCGGGGGGAGCGCUACCGCCUGCAGGCGGAAGCCACCGAGGCAGCGGAGCGUGCCCUCCGGGAGCAGGUGGCGGUGGUGGCAGCGGGGACAGCGCGUGCCCAUGCCCAGGGACACCGCCUGCGCCAGGCGCUGGAGGACAUCGGGGACGGCACCGCUGCCACCGCGUGCCACGUGGCCGCCCUGCGGGUCCGCCUCAGGUGUGACCCACUGACGCUGUCCCGCACCGUGCGCCGCAUGCUGCGGGGGGAGGACGAGGACAGUGAGGAGAGCGGGGACAGUGACAUCGGCGGGGGGCACGACACCAUCCCUGGGGAGCAGCCCUAAAAGGGACCCCCCUGGGGUCAGCUUCA
RNAcentral lists this long non-coding RNA (1052 nucleotides) under Numida meleagris (helmeted guineafowl). RNAcentral describes it as "lncRNA (ENSNMEG00000012494.1)". Lineage: Eukaryota; Metazoa; Chordata; Aves; Galliformes; Numididae. The record is from RNAcentral.